RNAcentral lists this ribosomal RNA (253 nucleotides) under uncultured bacterium. RNAcentral describes it as "partial 16S ribosomal RNA". It matches the Rfam family "Bacterial small subunit ribosomal RNA", at positions 524 to 776 of the family's 1533-position model. The record is from RNAcentral.
UACAGAGGGCGCAAGCGUUAAUCGGAAUUACUGGGCGUAAAGCGUGCGUAGACGGUUACAUAAGUCGGGUGUGAAAGCCCCGGGCUCAACCUGGGAAUUGCAUUCGAGACUGCGUAGCUAGGGUGCGGAAGAGGGAAGCGGAAUUUCCGGUGUAGCGGUGAAAUGCGUAGAGACCCGGAGGAACACCAGUGGCGAAGGCGGCUUCCUGGUCUGCGACUGACGCUGUGGCGCGAAAGCUAGGGGAGCAAACGGG